This 606-nucleotide long non-coding RNA is filed under the name Arachis ipaensis. Its description in RNAcentral is "long non-coding RNA (AIPA_LNC001422)". Lineage: Eukaryota; Viridiplantae; Streptophyta; Magnoliopsida; Fabales; Fabaceae. The record is from RNAcentral.
UCUACACCAUUCUCUCUCAAUCCAAAUGCUUAUUCAGAUCUUCCCCUUUAGAUCCAAUUCAGGAUCCUCUCUUCUCUUACCCUUCCUCCUAUGGAGAGCACAAGUAUGCUGUCUCAACCACACGUUCUACAUGCACUUCUCCUAUUUUCUUUUCAGGUGCUCUGCCUCGAUUCCUCUGUUCUGUGUAAUUCUCUCCCAAUAUAGAAAAUGCUAAAUUUGUGUUGUUGUGAUAAAGCUGAAGAAUUUCCACUAAUGGAUUGUGGUUAUCGGAUUCAGAUUACUUGGAUGUUGUGAAGGAGAUCAAGAAUUUGAUCAAGGACUCUUCAUCAGUUGAGGAGUCGAGUGCUCUACGCUACAUGCUUCUCGGCUACCAGGAAGCUAAAACCAUUCAUGCAGUAAAACCCCCAAUUCCUAUCAGUGUCAUAUCCAGAAGCUACAACCCCUAAUUAAAAAUCCUAAAAUUGGAACCCAAAACCUCCCAAAUUUCACAGAACAAACUGAAAAUCGAUACAUACCUUCUCAGGUGAGCGGCGAUGACGAUGCUGAGCGACGACGAUGAUGCUGAGCAGCGACAGUGAGCACAUGCGACGAUGAUGCUGAGCGGCG